RNAcentral lists this ribosomal RNA (429 nucleotides) under Bacteroidota bacterium. Its description in RNAcentral is "Bacteroidetes bacterium partial 16S ribosomal RNA". It matches the Rfam family "Bacterial small subunit ribosomal RNA", at positions 355 to 776 of the family's 1533-position model. Lineage: Bacteria; Pseudomonadati; Bacteroidota. The record is from RNAcentral.
UAGGGAAUCUUCCGCAAUGGACGCAAGUCUGACGGAGCAACGCCGCGUGAGUGAAGAAGGAUUUCGGUUCGUAAAACUCUGUUGUUAGAGAAGAACAGCGCAUAGAGUAACUGUUAUGCGUGUGACGGUAUCUAACCAGAAAGCCACGGCUAACUACGUGCCAGCAGCCGCGGUAAUACGUAGGUGGCAAGCGUUGUCCGGAUUUAUUGGGCGUAAAGCGAGCGCAGGCGGUCAAUUAAGUCUGAUGUGAAAGCCCCCGGCUCAACCGGGGAGGGUCAUUGGAAACUGGUUGACUUGAGUGCAGCAGAGGAGAGUGGAAUUCCAUGUGUAGCGGUGAAAUGCGUAGAUAUAUGGAGGAACACCAGUGGCGAAGGCGACUCUCUGGUCUGUAACUGACGCUGAGGCUCGAAAGCGUGGGUAGCAAACAGG